UGAAUGUUUAUAAGUGAUUUUUUCUCUGUAAAGUUUGAAUAUUUAAGGAUGAAAAGAGUUGUUUCAGAUAAUCCAUCUUUCUAAUCAAGUAUUUCUAUUCCUCUAAUUAAGAGCUUAACCUAAGAUUUUAUUUUUUUCUAAGAAGGAAAAAAAGUAAAAAUUAUACAUUUUAUAAUUCAUCAGAAAUAAACUUUCCUUUAGUAUUGUGCAAUCACCAUUCUGAGCAAUUAAGCUAAAGUAAAUGGUACAAGGAUUUCAAUUACAGAUUGUGCUAUCUUGAGUCUGCUGUUGAGAACAUUUAUACCUCACUUUUCCUUUAUUUUCUAGGCAUUACAACUUG
Molecule: long non-coding RNA, 340 nt
Filed under: Bos taurus (domestic cattle)
Lineage: Eukaryota; Metazoa; Chordata; Mammalia; Artiodactyla; Bovidae
Description: long non-coding RNA NONBTAT011787
Source: RNAcentral